This 378-nucleotide ribosomal RNA is filed under the name uncultured bacterium. Its description in RNAcentral is "bacterial SSU rRNA". It matches the Rfam family "Bacterial small subunit ribosomal RNA", at positions 523 to 898 of the family's 1533-position model. The record is from RNAcentral.
AUACGUAGGGUGCGAGCGUUGUCCGGAAUUAUUGGGCGUAAAGAGCUUGUAGGCGGUUUGUCGCGUCUGCCGUGAAAACCUAGGGCUUAACUCUGGGCGUGCGGUGGGUACGGGCAGGCUAGAGUGUGGUAGGGGAGACUGGAAUUCCUGGUGUAGCGGUGAAAUGCGCAGAUAUCAGGAGGAACACCGAUGGCGAAGGCAGGUCUCUGGGCCAUAACUGACGCUGAGAAGCGAAAGCAUGGGGAGCGAACAGGAUUAGAUACCCUGGUAGUCCAUGCCGUAAACGUUGGGCGCUAGGUGUGGGGCUCAUUCCACGAGUUCUGUGCCGCAGCUAACGCAUUAAGCGCCCCGCCUGGGGAGUACGGCCGCAAGGCUAAA